RNAcentral lists this ribosomal RNA (400 nucleotides) under phytoplankton environmental sample. RNAcentral describes it as "partial small subunit ribosomal RNA". It matches the Rfam family "Eukaryotic small subunit ribosomal RNA", at positions 587 to 992 of the family's 1831-position model. The record is from RNAcentral.
AGCACUGCUAGUGUAUACCACGAGUACUGCGGUUAAAAAGCUCGUAGUUGGAUCUGCGGAUCAGGAUCCAGGUCGACCUUAUGGGUCCGUACUUGGUGUCCGAUCCUACUUGCCGGUUUUCUGCCCAUGCUCUUAACUGGGUGUGGGUGGAGGCUGGCGCUUUUACUUUGAAAAAAUUGGAGUGCUCAGAACAGGCGCUUGCCUGAACAGUUGUGCAUGGAAUAAUGGAAUAAGAUCUCGGUCUUAUUUUGCUGGUUUUAGAGAUGGAGAUAAUGAUUAAGAGGGACAGACGGGGGCAUUCGUAUUGCGACGUUAGAGGUGAAAUUCUUGGAUCGUCGCAAGACGGACAACUGCGAAAGCAUUUGCCAAGAAUGUUUUCAUUAAUCAAGAACGAAAGUAG